Non-coding RNA from Equus caballus (horse), 1032 nucleotides. The record is from RefSeq and is a predicted model, not a curated record. Lineage: Eukaryota; Metazoa; Chordata; Mammalia; Perissodactyla; Equidae.
AUCUUCACCACCAUUCUACUGUCCACCACACAGCUAGUGGAUUUCAGACGCCCGUGGACUUCUAUCUUACUGGAGUGCAGAUAUGACAUCCCCUGUAAUUUUUCAGACAACAGGAAAACAAAGAGGUCUCUUACCUUAGCAAUAUCAUACAAGACAGAGAUCUUAAACUCCCAGUCCAUGAACGUACCAUCAGGGUAGGAAAUUGUGUCGUUUAAAACUUCCUGAACAGGAGAAAAAGGAAAGGAACAAGGAACAUUCGGUGGCUUUCAGCACAAGAAGAUGAGCAGGAGAUACCCAUGGUGUUCCAAAUUCCAGGUUCUUCCCCCAGACCCGGGUAAAGGAAUGGGCAGACACCUCCCUGGAGAGUGGGCUGGUGAGCCUGCUUCACAAGUGGUUGGGCUGCAGGUUCUGUCUCCUUAAAAUCACACUAGUAUUUUUAGACAAGGAAUUGCUGUAAGGAAAUUCAUUCACUAGGCUUACGCUUUUACUCACUUGAUCAGUUGCAUCCAUUGGUUUAAUAGCUCUAGGUGUUAUUUAAGUUUACUAAGUCCUUUGUCAAUAGGACAGAGUUCUUGGAUUUUGUGUAUGAAUUAUAUGACCUGGAAUUUUGAACUCACUAUUUUAACAUGACAAUGGUUCUAUCAAGAUACAGGGUUUUUACCUAAGCUAAUAACUAUUCUUCACAAUAAAACCCUAACUAAUAAACUAACAAUCGUUUCUUGUUUGGGGAAAAAGCCCAAUUUGACCUUUAGUUCUAACUGUACCAGUAAUUUGCAACAAAUGGUCCAAAGUCAUUAAUCAUUUCAGAUAAGGCUGGCUGGGCUGUGGGUACCAGGCCAAGUUAAGCAAGGGCAGUUAUGAGCAGACAGACUCUAAAGGAAUUCUUUCCCUUAGCACCUGACAUACUUUACAUUUUUAUUUAUUUAUUGGUUGUCUCUUCUCCUUAUGAAAAUGUAAACUCUGUGAUUUUGUUUUUGAGGAAGAUUCGCCCUGAGCUAACAUCUGCUACCAAUCCUCCUCUUUUUGCUGAGG